CAGAUCUCCAACCGCUCGGGGUCCCGUGAUUUCCAUUAAUGAAUUCGCACACUGGCGUUACCACUCAACACACCGACGACUGCAUUGUACCAUCACUAGAAUCUAGUGCUUAAUGGCAACUCGCCCUUUCCAAAGGGUCUCAACAAGUUCAGCGAGGUGAAAUUCAGCUUUUGCCCUAUCAUCUGAAUUCACAGGACUUCCAUCUAACAUCUAAGCAAGACGAUAGACAACAAUUAGCUAAAUCUACAUUAUUGGACAUGAUGGCUAAGUAAAAAACAUCACACCAGAAUCAAGGGAUCUUAACAAUGACAGUAAUUGAUGGUGUGUGAAGAAAAAAGGGAAGAUCAGGAGACUUUAACCUGUGGUAUUCCCAUGUUUAGAAGCAAAAUGGGGAACAAAAAGGAAGCGAAUAACAAUCAGAAAAAUAGGAGGAUAACAAUAGUGUAAUAUCAUGGAUGCCAAAGGAGAGUUUCAAAAAGAAGAAGGCAACCAAUAGUGUCAAAUGUUUCAGACAAUUGUAAAAAUUCAAAAAUAAAAAUAUUUAAAACUUUCAAAAUAAAAUAUCAAAAUAUCAAAAUAAAAUAUCAAAAACUUUCUUGAUGCCAGGCAUUGGUCCAAGAGAUCUUUUUUUGGCAAAUCUUAAUAAAAUAUCUUAUUUAAUCUAAUACGUCCAAAAUACUACCAUGUCAACAUGUACCUAAUAUAAAAAUUAUAGUGUUUUUUUUCCAUACUCAGUCUUUAAAAACUGGUGCUUGUUUUAAACUUUCAGCAUACUCAAUUUGGACUAGCCACAUUUCAAAUGCUUAAUAGUUACAUGUGGGUGGUGGCUACUCUUUUGGACAGAGCAGCACAGAGAGCUGUGGGAGAAUUAAAGGAGGUGGUUCAUCUCUUUUAGGAGAUGCAGAAGAUAAAGUACUCAGCACAGGGCUGGUAGGUGGAAAACACAGAAGUGUUAGCCUCAUCCUUCCCUUACCCUCUCCCGAUAAUGGUUCAUAGUUCUCUGGACCGAAUGUGAGCAAUUCACUCUGCCUUGUAAAACCCUGAAUUCCUCACCUCCUUCUUACUUCUCCAUAAAGUACAAUGAGGGCACUCUCACCACCACCCUGCAGUGACAGUACCAACCUCUAUGGCCUGAGCUGCUGCAAUAGCUCCCCUACAUAGUGCCUUGUCAUCUGCUUCUACUCCCACCAACCCAUUCUCCACUGAGUGGAUGGAAUGCUUUUUUGGGGAGGUGAUAUUUUUAUUGUGGCAAAAUAUACAUAAGAUAGAAUGUACCAUUUUAGCCAUUUUC
Molecule: long non-coding RNA, 1291 nt
Filed under: Homo sapiens (human)
Lineage: Eukaryota; Metazoa; Chordata; Mammalia; Primates; Hominidae
Description: HSALNT0377344
Source: RNAcentral